CUGUUUCCAUGUAAUUACUUUGAAAUUAUCUUCCAGAUCUUUUCCAGAAAUCUCAGCUGUUCAGUCUUUUAUAAAGUCAUAUUCUCUGCAGCCCCUGGUCAUCUGUUGACAUACUUGGCCACAACUUUUCCACAGUUAGCCAGUACAGAUCUUUUUUCAUUUUAGUUUUCUUCAGUGGCCCCUGUAUAACUCAUCUACUUGGAAAUGAAGAUCUAUAGUUGUGAUGUAUAUGCUCAGAAAAAUUAAUGCAGAACAAAAUUCUCCUACUGGAAUAUGUUUACUUCAGAAAUUUUGAGUUCCAUUGUGACAGAGGAUUGCUUAUUCCCUAAUACAAGCAUCAUCCCCUGCAGAGAGCUUUCCCUUUUGAACUUGUGUGAAUUGACUGAAGCUUUGUUCCAAGUCUCUCUGGAGUACUGACAUUCAGGUUGCUGACAGAAGAACCCUGAAGAUAGCUCAAGGGGAUUUCUGUAUCCUUUCAGCUGCCACUAUGAUCAGGUUUUUAAAGUUUUCCUUGAAGAUGAGUUCUAAUUGAGAGCUAAACAAUUCUGAAAGCUUUUCUGUGGAAGACAGAGUUAAAGCAAACAACUGAAAAAAAAGAAACAAAGAAUGAAAGAAACUCUUAAGAACUAGUAACCCAUCUGGAGGACAAAAGGUAUAAUAACUACAAUCAAACAAUCAAGUUUACACUGGAAAAAUAACAUGGAGUUUUAUUGAAAAAUACUGUAAGUUAUUUCAUGCAGAUGGUCUUCCUGGUUUUUACACAGAAGGAAGAUGAGACAAAUAUGCCGUUGGAAAAGGCUGAAGGAAAGAGAUGCCAAGUGUCAGUAAAGAAAGAGCUUUGGUGUAAGUAAUAGAUGAGGAGGUUCUCACCUCUCUCUCUCAACUCAGCAACUGAGUUGCUAAGGAAGUUUGAAACCAUUCAGAAACACAAAAAACAUGUACAGAAAAUUAACAAUACAAAGUGGUUUUCAUAAGGAACUAGAACUGGAUCUAUGAUCACUAUAAAACUUAAUUUUCCUGAGUCUGGAUCUGAACCAAAAAUUCUUAGAUUUCUGCAUGCCUGCGCUUGUUAGCAAAUUACUGAGAAGUCCAGUGAAUAUCUU
Molecule: long non-coding RNA, 1103 nt
Filed under: Gallus gallus (chicken)
Lineage: Eukaryota; Metazoa; Chordata; Aves; Galliformes; Phasianidae
Description: long non-coding RNA NONGGAT008879
Source: RNAcentral